This 381-nucleotide long non-coding RNA is filed under the name Salmo salar (Atlantic salmon). Its description in RNAcentral is "lncRNA (ENSSSAG00000102048.1)". The record is from RNAcentral. Lineage: Eukaryota; Metazoa; Chordata; Actinopteri; Salmoniformes; Salmonidae.
UCCCCCCUUUCCCUGUACGACUGACUAGGUAUCCCCCCUUUCCCUGUACAACUGACUAGGUAUCCCCCCUUUCCCUGUACAACUGACUAGGUAUCCCCCCUUUCCCUGUACGACUGACUAGGUAUCCCCCCUUUCCCUGUACGACUGACUAGGUAUCCCCCCCUUUCCCUGUACGACUGACUAGGUAUCCCCCCCUUUCCCUGUACGACUGACUAGGUAUCCCCCCCUUUCCCUGUACGACUGACUAGGUAUCCCCCCCUUUCCCUGUACAACUGACUAGGUAUCCCUUUUUCCCACUGACUAGGUAUCCCCCCUUUCCCUGUACAACUGACUAGGUAUCCCCCCUUUCCCUGUACAACUGACUAGGUACCCCCCCUUUCC